This 1268-nucleotide long non-coding RNA is filed under the name Capra hircus (goat). Its description in RNAcentral is "lncRNA (ENSCHIG00000007801.1)". Lineage: Eukaryota; Metazoa; Chordata; Mammalia; Artiodactyla; Bovidae. The record is from RNAcentral.
UAACAACGUGACUGACUUUGGAAACGUUAUUCCAAGUGAAAGAAGCCAGUCUCAGAAGAACACAUAGUGUCUGGCUCCAUGUAUUUGAAAUGUCCAGAGUAUAGAAAUCUAGAGAGACAGAAAUAGACAGAUCGUUGGUUGCCUAGGACUGGAGGGGAUGGAGGUCUGGGAGGAUGAGAGUUAGCAGAUGUGGAGUUUCAGUUCGGAGUCAUGAAGAUGCUUUCAAAUUGACUGUGGUGAUGGGCGCCCAACUCUGUGAACUUACUAAAACACAUUGAACUGCACACUUUACCUGGCUGAAUUGUGUAGCAUGUGGAUUUUCAUCUCAAUAAAACUGCUACCUAGGGAAACAUCAUUUUCUACUGAAAUCUCUGAUCAAUUAUAAUAGUCCCAAAGGGCUUGCCUUGUGGCUCAGCUGGUGAAGAAUCCCCCCGCAGUGUGGGAGACCUGGGUUCCAUCCCUGGGUUGGGAAGAUCCCCUGGAGAAGGGAAAGGCUACCCACUCCAGUAUUCUGGCCUGGAGAAUUCCGUGGACUGUAUAGUCCAUGGGGUCACAAAGAGUCAGAAUGCCUGAGCGACUUCCACGUUUCACUUAGUUCACGUUUGUAUACGUCAGUUCUCAUUCUCCUCUCCCUCCCUCUCUCCCCCUUCUUCUUCUUCCUCCUCGUCCUCUCAUUGGAAAUGUUGACUUAUUUAUCAAAAAGGAUCAACUUAAUGAAAAUUAAUGGGGAACAUUGAUAUGAACACAAUUUUCCAGUUUACACCGCUAUAGAUAAUCGUAUACUGAGAGACAGAGACGGUGCAACCUUGAGAAUCUGAUGCUUUGCAAACAUGAUCCUCUCACCAACCUCUGAACCACUUGGGAGACAGGUGUCCACUCAGUGCCCCACUGGCAUCCAGCUCAAUUGUCUCUGGAGCCCAGGUGUGUCUUCAUGUCGUGAGGCAGUCGUGGUGGCAUCACCUGAUGCAAAGCCUUCUAGUCUGUUCUCUGAUCACUGAGUGAUGGGGAAGGCAGAUGAGGGUAAGCCCAGAAGAGUCCUUUUAAUCACUGUCUCUGCCUCCAAACUAUAUUACCACCAACCAAAACAUGCCACACAGGGCUGUAAAGUUAAUCUUAAAAUAGCACAGCCUUAGCAACUCACUUUGUCUUGUCACAAAAUUUGUACUCGUGGUCCUUGAAUUCAGACUUCUCCAUUAAAAAAAUAUACAAAAGCACCUUGCUGCCAUCUCUCUCACCUCCUCUCCAUAGUUUGUUGAGGAGAAGACUUC